Molecule: ribosomal RNA, 416 nt
Filed under: uncultured bacterium
Lineage: Bacteria
Description: bacterial SSU rRNA
Rfam family: Bacterial small subunit ribosomal RNA
Source: RNAcentral
AACGAACGCUGGCGGCAGGCCUAACACAUGCAAGUCGAACGCCGUAGCAAUACGGAGUGGCAGACGGGUGAGUAACACGUGGGAACGUACCCUUCGGUUCGGAAUAACUCAGGGAAACUUGAGCUAAUACCGGNUACGUCCGAGAGGAGAAAGAUUUAUCGCCGAGGGAUCGGCCCGCGUCUGAUUAGCUUGUUGGUGAGGUAACGGCUCACCAAGGCGACGAUCAGUAGCUGGUCUGAGAGGAUGAUCAGCCACAUCGGGACUGAGACACGGCCCAAACUCCUACGGGAGGCAGCAGUGGGGAAUAUUGGACAAUGGGCGCAAGCCUGAUCCAGCCAUGCCGCGUGAGUGAUGAAGGCCCUAGGGUUGUAAAGCUCUUUUACCCGGGAAGAUAAUGACUGUACCGGGAGAAUAAG